Molecule: ribosomal RNA, 485 nt
Filed under: Enterococcus devriesei
Lineage: Bacteria; Bacillati; Bacillota; Bacilli; Lactobacillales; Enterococcaceae
Description: bacterial SSU rRNA
Rfam family: Bacterial small subunit ribosomal RNA
Source: RNAcentral
UUUUAUGAGAGUUUGAUCCUGGCUCAGGACGAACGCUGGCGGCGUGCCUAAUACAUGCAAGUCGAACGCUUUUUCUUUCACCGGAGCUUGCUCCACCGAAAGAAAAAGAGUGGCGAACGGGUGAGUAACACGUGGGUAACCUGCCCAUCAGAAGGGGAUAACACUUGGAAACAGGUGCUAAUACCGUAUAACAAGUAAAACCGCAUGGUUUUACUUUGAAAGGCGCUUUUGCGUCACUGAUGGAUGGACCCGCGGUGCAUUAGCUAGUUGGUGAGGUAACGGCUCACCAAGGCAACGAUGCAUAGCCGACCUGAGAGGGUGAUCGGCCACAUUGGGACUGAGACACGGCCCAAACUCCUACGGGAGGCAGCAGUAGGGAAUCUUCGGCAAUGGACGAAAGUCUGACCGAGCAACGCCGCGUGAGUGAAGAAGGUUUUCGGAUCGUAAAACUCUGUUGUUAGAGAAGAACAAGGAUGAGAGUAAAA